CCAUCCACUGCAGCAAACCUUACUUUGGAUCCAGGUUUCAGUAGCUCUACUGCAGUCUGAAUCCAGCUCUUCACCAUUUUGCUAACAUUAAGAUAGGAAGGUAGACAGAGGACAAGAAGGAAAAGUGAAAGCUGGGCAGAUAUAAAACACUUUGUAACCAGGAGCUUCAUUGUCAGAGACUUUGUUAACUGAGGUCACUCUGCCUUUGAUUCUGUGGUUUUGGCCCUUUCUGUCAGGAAGCCAACUCAGGCAUGAGAAUCGACUGAUUAUCCUGACAUGGAAGGCCAAGGCUGGUGGAAAGGGAGGGAGAGACAAGGAGGAGAGUUGGAACAGAGAUAAGGCUCAUCUGGCUUGGUUGUUGUGGGAACCAGAGAGCUGAAGAUGGUGGAAUGUAACCUGGUUUGGGGAGGGUGACAUUUUACUGGAGUAUAUAGUAGGUGGCAUAGAAUAGACUGGUAGAAUUAGGACGCGGAACAAUGGCUUCAAACUACAAGAGAGGAGAUUCCAUCUGAACAUUAGGAAGAACUUCCUGACUGUGAGAGCCGUUCAGCAGUGGAACUCUCUGCCCCAGAGUGUGGUGGAGGCUCCUUCUUUGGAAGCUUUUAAGCAGAGGCUGGAUGGCCAUUUGUCAGGGGUGAUUUGAAUGCAAUAUUCCUGCUUCUUGGCAGGGGGUUGGACUGGAUGGCCCAUGAGGUCUCUUCCAACUCUUUGAUUCUAUGAUUCUAUGAAUUAGCUUUAUUGAAUUCUGGCAAGAAGGAAAAUAAAGACUUGUUUCUAGUGAUUGCAUUGUGAGUGUCUUCAUUCCAAGACCUUCCAGAUCUUACACUUUUAGCUUCUGUAAGAAGUGUUUAUCUUCUAGUAGAAAAACAAAUGAUGACAGCAUCCCAAAGUGUAUUGGGAUACAUGGUAUAUGGAAUGAAUUGUAUUUGCUGGGGGAAAAACAUGGGCAAGGAUCCCCCACAAAUAUAAGGUUGUCGAUAUCACCUGCUACUAGAAGCAUCAUGGAAUAUGAUCAAUCAAAAGUUCAAAUACAAGGAAAACUGAAGGUCCAUCUGGAUUUCCACACAGUUCAAGACAGUUCCGGAGCAGCAGCGGUCUACUGAACAUGGAUUCACACUUCCUCUAAACCUCUCUCUGGAUUUAUCUGACAACUUACCUUGCUGUGCAGCCUUCAAAACUCUUUCCAAUUUACAGUGACCCAAAAGAAACCUAUAACUAGUUUUCCUUGGUGAGGUUUGUUAAGAGGGGGCCUGCCUUUCCCUUUCUCUGAGAAUGGGAAAGUGUGACUUGCCCAAGUUUAUCCAGUGGGAGUUUCCAUGGUCAA
Molecule: long non-coding RNA, 1324 nt
Organism: Anolis sagrei ordinatus
Lineage: Eukaryota; Metazoa; Chordata; Lepidosauria; Squamata; Anolidae
Source: RefSeq, a predicted model, not a curated record